This 497-nucleotide ribosomal RNA is filed under the name uncultured bacterium. Its description in RNAcentral is "partial 16S ribosomal RNA". It matches the Rfam family "Bacterial small subunit ribosomal RNA", at positions 28 to 507 of the family's 1533-position model. The record is from RNAcentral.
GAUGAACGCUGGCGGCGUGCCUAAUACAUGCAAGUCGAGCGAACGGACGAGAAGCUUGCUUCUCUGAUGUUGGCGGCGGACGGGUGAGUAACACGUGGAUAACCUACCUAUAAGACUGGGAUAACUUCGGGAAACCGUAGCUAAUACCGGAUAAUAUUUUGAACCGCAUGGUUCGAAAGUGAAAGACGGUCUUGCUGUCACUUAUAGAUGGAUCCGCGCUGCAUUAGCUAGUUGGUAAGGUAACGGCUUACCAAGGCAACGAUGCAUAGCCGACCUGAGAGGGUGAUCGGCCACACUGGAACUGAGACACGGUCCAGACUCCUACGGGAGGCAGCAGUAGGGAAUCUUCCGCAAUGGGCGAAAGCCUGACGGAGCAACGCCGCGUGAGUGAUGAAGGUCUUCGGAUCGUAAAACUCUGUUAUUAGGGAAGAACAUAUGUGUAAGUAACUGUGCACAUCUUGACGGUACCUAAUCAGAAAGCCACGGCUAACUACGUG